This 513-nucleotide ribosomal RNA is filed under the name Callistethus ruteloides. RNAcentral's name for it is "partial 16S ribosomal RNA". It matches the Rfam family "Bacterial large subunit ribosomal RNA", at positions 1819 to 2600 of the family's 2925-position model. The record is from RNAcentral. Lineage: Eukaryota; Metazoa; Arthropoda; Insecta; Coleoptera; Scarabaeidae.
GUCUUUUUGAUCAUAAUUUAAAGUCUGACCUGCCCAAUGAGUAGUUAAAUGGCCGCGGUAAUUUGACCGUGCAAAGGUAGCAUAAUCAUUAGUUUUUUAAUUGAAAGCUGGAAUGAACGGUUGGACGAGAAAAUAACUGUCUCAAUUUAAUUGAAUGUAGAACUUUAUUUAUAAGUAAAAAAGCUUAUAUGAUUUUAAAAGACGAGAAGACCCUAUAGAGUUUUAUAAUUUAUUACAUUAAUUAAGGUUAGUAUGUUUGUAUUUUUGAUGUAAUAAUUUAUUUUGCUGGGGCAGCAGAAAAAUUGGUUAAACUUUUUUUUAUUUUUAACAUUGAUUUAUGAUUUAAUGAUCCAUUUUUUAUGAUUACAAGAUUCAAUUACCUUAGGGAUAACAGCGUAAUUUUUUUCUAGAGUUCUUAUCGAAAAAAGAGUUUGCGACCUCGAUGUUGGAUUAAAAUUAACUUUUGGUGUAGGGGCUAAAAGGUUAGGUCUGUUCGACCUUUAAAAUUUUACA